GCGGGAGUGGCGGAAUUGGUAGACGCGCUGGAUUUAGGUUCCAGUGCCUUAUGGCGUGAGAGUUCGAGUCUCUCCUUCCGCACCA
Molecule: transfer RNA, 85 nt
Filed under: gamma proteobacterium NOR5-3
Lineage: Bacteria; Pseudomonadati; Pseudomonadota; Gammaproteobacteria
Also listed under: 3 other names
Description: tRNA-Leu
Rfam family: tRNA
About the family: Transfer RNA (tRNA) molecules are approximately 80 nucleotides in length. Their secondary structure includes four short double-helical elements and three loops (D, anti-codon, and T loops).
Source: RNAcentral